ACCCGCUGAACUUAAGCAUAUCAAUAAGCGGAGGAAAAGAAACCAACAGGGAUUGCCUCAGUAACGGCGAGUGAAGCGGCAACAGCUCAAAUUUGAAAUCUGGCCUCACGGUCCGAGUUGUAAUUUGUAGAGGAUGUUUCGAACGUGGUCCGGUCUAAGUUUCUUGGAACAGAACGUCAUAGAGGGUGAGAAUCCCGUAUGCGACUGGGUGCCUAAGUUCAUGUGAAGCUCCUUCGACGAGUCGAGUUGUUUGGGAACGCAGCUCAAAAUGGGUGGUAAAUUUCAUCUAAAGCUAAAUAUUGGCCAGAGACCGAUAGCGCACAAGUAGAGUGAUCGAAAGAUGAAAAGCACUUUGGAAAGAGAGUUAAACAGUACGUGAAAUUGUUGAAAGGGAAGCGCUUGCAACCAGACUUGCAUGCAGUUGAUCAUCCGAUGUUCUCACCGGUGCACUCGAUUGUAUUCAGGCCAGCAUCGGUUUUGGUGGUUAGAUAAAGGCCUUGGGAAUGUAGCUUCUUUCGGGGAGUGUUAUAGCCCUCGGUGCAAUGUAGCCUACCGGGACCGAGGACCGCGCUUCGGCUAGGAUGCUGGCGUAAUGGUUGUAAGCGACCCGUCUUGAAACACGG
RNAcentral lists this ribosomal RNA (623 nucleotides) under uncultured fungus. Its description in RNAcentral is "eukaryotic LSU rRNA". It matches the Rfam family "Eukaryotic large subunit ribosomal RNA", at positions 23 to 664 of the family's 3401-position model. Lineage: Eukaryota; Fungi. The record is from RNAcentral.